Molecule: ribosomal RNA, 736 nt
Filed under: uncultured bacterium
Lineage: Bacteria
Description: bacterial SSU rRNA
Rfam family: Bacterial small subunit ribosomal RNA
Source: RNAcentral
GUCGAACGGACUCAUACUGAAACCUAGUGAUUUAUGAGUUAGUGGCGGACGGGUGAGUAACGCGUGGAUAACCUGCCGUAUACCGGGGGAUAACACUUAGAAAUAGGUGCUAAUACCGCAUGAGCGCACAGCUCCGCAUGGGGCGGUGUGAAAAACUCCGGUGGUAUACGAUGGAUCCGCGUCUGAUUAGCCAGUUGGCGGGGUAACGGCCCACCAAAGCGACGAUCAGUAGCCGGCCUGAGAGGGUGAACGGCCACAUUGGGACUGAGACACGGCCCAGACUCCUACGGGAGGCAGCAGUGGGGAAUAUUGCACAAUGGGGGAAACCCUGAUGCAGCGACGCCGCGUGAGUGAAGAAGUAUCUCGGUAUGUAAAGCUCUAUCAGCAGGAAAGAUAAUGAUGGUACCUGACUAAGAAGCCCCGGCUAACUACGUGCCAGCAGCCGCGGUAAUACGUAGGGGGCAAGCGUUAUCCGGAUUUACUGGGUGUAAAGGGAGCGUAGACGGCAGCGCAAGUCUGGAGUGAAAUGCCGGGGCCCAACCCCGGAACUGCUUUGGAAACUGUGCGGCUCGAGUGCGGGAGAGGUAGGCGGAAUUCCUAGUGUAGCGGUGAAAUGCGUAGAUAUUAGGAGGAACACCAGUGGCGAAGGCGGCUUACUGGACCGUAACUGACGUUGAGGCUCGAAAGCGUGGGGAGUAAACAGGAUUAGAUACCCUGGUAGUCCACGCCGUAAACG